This 433-nucleotide ribosomal RNA is filed under the name uncultured bacterium. Its description in RNAcentral is "partial 16S ribosomal RNA". It matches the Rfam family "Bacterial small subunit ribosomal RNA", at positions 29 to 507 of the family's 1533-position model. The record is from RNAcentral.
AGCGAACGCUGGCGGCAGGCUUAACACAUGCAAGUCGAGCGGGCCUUUCGGGGUCAGCGGCGGACGGGUGAGUAACGCGUGGGAACGUGCCCUCUGGUUCGGAAUAACUCAGGGAAACUUGAGCUAAUACCGGAUACGCCCUUUUGGGGAAAGGCUUGCUGCCGGAGGAUCGGCCCGCGUCUGAUUAGCUAGUUGGUGAGGUAACGGCUCACCAAGGCGACGAUCAGUAGCUGGUCUGAGAGGAUGAUCAGCCACACUGGGACUGAGACACGGCCCAGACUCCUACGGGAGGCAGCGGUGGGGAAUAUUGGAGAAUGGGCGCAAGCCUGAUCCAGCCAUGCCGCGUGAGUGAUGAAGGCGUUAGGGUUGUAAAGCUCUUUUAUCCGGGACGAUAAUGACGGUACCGGAGGAAUAAGCCCCGGCUAACUUCGUG